GACGAACGCUGGCGGCGUGCUUAACACAUGCAAGUCGAACGGAAAGGCCCUGCUUUUGUGGGGUGCUCGAGUGGCGAACGGGUGAGUAACACGUGAGUAACCUGCCCUUGACUUUGGGAUAACUUCAGGAAACUGGGGCUAAUACCGGAUAGGAGCUCCUGCUGCAUGGUGGGGGUUGGAAAGUUUCGGCGGUUGGAGAUGGACUCGCGGCUUAUCAGCUUGUUGGCGGGGUAGUGGCUUACCAAGGCUUUGACGGGUAGCCGGCCUGAGAGGGUGACCGGCCACAUUGGGACUGAGAUACGGCCCAGACUCCUACGGGAGGCAGCAGUGGGGAAUAUUGCACAAUGGGCGGAAGCCUGAUGCAGCAACGCCGCGUGCGGGAUGACGGCCUUCGGGUUGUAAACCGCUUUCGCCUGUGACGAAGCGUGAGUGACGGUAAUGGGUAAAGAAGCACCGGCUAACUACGUG
Molecule: ribosomal RNA, 468 nt
Filed under: uncultured bacterium
Lineage: Bacteria
Description: partial 16S ribosomal RNA
Rfam family: Bacterial small subunit ribosomal RNA
Source: RNAcentral